UCGAGAAAAGCGGAGACUGCGAUUAUGUGUUUUUUCGGAAAGGCAUUGUUGCGAAAACCGCGUUAAUCGAAACGGCUUGAACCGGGCAAAAGUCGUAACAAGGUUUCCGUAGGUGAACCUGCGGAAGGAUCAUUA
RNAcentral lists this ribosomal RNA (135 nucleotides) under Steinernema papillatum. RNAcentral's name for it is "partial 18S ribosomal RNA". It matches the Rfam family "Eukaryotic small subunit ribosomal RNA", at positions 1699 to 1831 of the family's 1831-position model. Lineage: Eukaryota; Metazoa; Nematoda; Chromadorea; Rhabditida; Steinernematidae. The record is from RNAcentral.